GCUUAACACAUGCAAGUCGAGGGGCAGCAUGGUCUUAGCUUGCUAAGGCCGAUGGCGACCGGCGCACGGGUGAGUAACGCGUAUCCAACCUGCCUUACACUCUUGGACAGCCUUCUGAAAGGGAGAUUAAUACAAGAUGUUAUCAUGAGUAAGCAUUUUCGCAUGAUUAAAGGUUUACCGGUGUAAGAUGGGGAUGCGUUCCAUUAGAUAGUAGGCGGGGUAACGGCCCACCUAGUCUUCGAUGGAUAGGGGUUCUGAGAGGAAGGUCCCCCACAUUGGAACUGAGACACGGUCCAAACUCCUACGGGAGGCAGCAGUGAGGAAUAUUGGUCAAUGGACGAGAGUCUGAACCAGCCAAGUAGCGUGAAGGAUGAAGGUUCUAUGGAUUGUAAACUUCUUUUAUACGGGAAUAAACGAAUCCACGUGUGGAUUUUUGCAUGUACCGUAUGAAUAAGGAUCGGCUAACUCCGUGCCAGCAGCCGCGGUAAUACGGAGGAUCCGAGCGUUAUCCGGAUUUAUUGGGUUUAAAGGGAGCGUAGAUGGGUUGUUAAGUCAGUUGUGAAAGUUUGCGGCUCAACCGUAAAAUUGCAAUUGAUACUGGCAGUCUUGAGUACAGUUGAGGUAGGCGGAAUUCGUGGUGUAGCGGUGAAAUGCUUAGAUAUCACGAAGAACUCCGAUUGCGAAGGCAGCUUACUAACCUGUAACUGACAUUGAUGCUCGAAAGUGUGGGUAUCAAACAGGAUUAGAUACCCUGGUAGUCCACACGGUAAACGAUGAAUACUCGCUGUAGGCGAUAUACAGUCUGCGGCCAAGCGAAAGCAUUAAGUAUUCCACCUGGGGAGUACGCCGGCAACGGUGAAACUCAAAGGAAUUGACGGGGGCCCGCACAAGCGGAGGAACAUGUGGUUUAAUUCGAUGAUACGCGAGGAACCUUACCCGGGCUUAAAUUGCAACCGAAUAUGGCGGAAACGCUAUAGCUAGCAAUAGCGGUUGUGAAGGUGCUGCAUGGUUGUCGUCAGCUCGUGCCGUGAGGUGUCGGCUUAAGUGCCAUAACGAGCGCAACCCUUGCCGAUAGUUACUAACAGGUCAUGCUGAGGACUCUGUCGGGACUGCCAUCGUAAGAUGUGAGGAAGGUGGGGAUGACGUCAAAUCAGCACGGCCCUUACGUCCGGGGCUACACACGUGUUACAAUGGGGGGUACAGAGGGCUGCUACCACGCAAGUGGAUGCCAAUCCCAAAAACCUCUCUCAGUUCGGAUUGAAGUCUGCAACCCGACUUCAUGAAGCUGGAUUCGCUAGUAAUCGCGCAUCAGCCACGGCGCGGUGAAUACGUUCCCGGGCCUUGUACACACCGCCCGUCAAGCCAUGGGAGCCGGGGGUACCUGAAGUGCGUAACCGCAAGGAGCGCCCUAGGGUAAAACUGGUGACUGGGGC
Molecule: ribosomal RNA, 1433 nt
Filed under: uncultured organism
Description: 16S ribosomal RNA
Rfam family: Bacterial small subunit ribosomal RNA
Source: RNAcentral